RNAcentral lists this ribosomal RNA (492 nucleotides) under uncultured bacterium. RNAcentral describes it as "partial 16S ribosomal RNA". It matches the Rfam family "Bacterial small subunit ribosomal RNA", at positions 29 to 507 of the family's 1533-position model. The record is from RNAcentral.
AGUGAACGCUGGCGGUAGACCUAACACAUGCAAGUCGAACGGCAGCACAGUAAGAGCUUGCUCUUACGGGUGGCGAGUGGCGGACGGGUGCGGAAUACAUCGGAAUCUACUUUUUCGUGGGGGAUAACGUAGGGAAACUUACGCCAAUACCGCAUACGACCUACGGGUGAAAGCAGGGGAUCUUCGGACCUUGCGCGAUUGUAUGAGCCGAUGUCGGAUUAGCUAGUUGGCGGGGUAAAGGCCCACCAAGGCGACGAUCCGUAGCUGGUCUGAGAGGAUGAUCAGCCACACUGGAACUGAGACACGGUCCAGACUCCUACGGGAGGCAGCAGUGGGGAAUAUUGGACAAUGGGCGCAAGCCUGAUCCAGCCAUACCGCGUGGGUGAAGAAGGCCUUCGGGUUGUAAAGCCCUUUUGUUGGGAAAGAAAAGCAGCAGGUUAAUACCCCGCUGUUCUGACGGUACCCAAAGAAUAAGCACCGGCUAACUUCGUG